UAGGUGGGAGGCUUUGAAGUGUGGACGCCAGUCUGCAUGGAGCCGACCUUGAAAUACCACCCUUUAAUGUUUGAUGUUCUAACGUUGACCCGUAAUCCGGGUUGCGGACAGUGUCUGGUGGGUAGUUUGACUGGGGCGGUCUCCUCCUAAAGAGUAACGGAGGAGCACGAAGGUUGGCUAAUCCUGGUCGGACAUCAGGAGGUUAGUGCAAUGGCAUAAGCCAGCUUGACUGCGAGCGUGACGGCGCGAGCAGGUGCGAAAGCAGGUCAUAGUGAUCCGGUGGUUCUGAAUGGAAGGGCCAUCGCUCAACGGAUAAAAGGUACUCCGGGGAUAACAGGCUGAUACCGCCCAAGAGUUCAUAUCGACGGCGGUGUUUGGCACCUCGAUGUCGGCUCAUCACAUCCUGGGGCUGAAGUAGGUCCCAAGGGUAUGGCUGUUCGCCAUUUAAAGUGGUACGCGAGCUGGGUUUAGAACGUCGUGAGACAGUUCGGUCCCUAUCUGCCGUGGGCGCUGGAGAACUGAGGGGGGCUGCUCCUAGUACGAGAGGACCGGAGUGGACGCAUCACUGGUGUUCGGGUUGUCAUGCCAAUGGCACUGCCCGGUAGCUAAAUGCGGAAGAGAUAAGUGCUGAAAGCAUCUAAGCACGAAACUUGCCCCGAGAUGAGUUCUCCCUGACUCCUUGAGAGUCCUGAAGGAACGUUGAAGACGACGACGUUGAUAGGCCGGGUGUGUAAGCGCAGCGAUGCGUUGAGCUAACCGGUACUAAUGAACCGUGAGGCUUAACCUU
RNAcentral lists this ribosomal RNA (787 nucleotides) under Escherichia coli. RNAcentral's name for it is "partial 23S ribosomal RNA". It matches the Rfam family "Bacterial large subunit ribosomal RNA", at positions 2144 to 2925 of the family's 2925-position model. RNAcentral also lists the same sequence under 1 other name. The record is from RNAcentral. Lineage: Bacteria; Pseudomonadati; Pseudomonadota; Gammaproteobacteria; Enterobacterales; Enterobacteriaceae.